This is a non-coding RNA of Lolium perenne, 1772 nucleotides long. NCBI's taxonomy places the organism in Eukaryota, Viridiplantae, Streptophyta, Magnoliopsida, Poales, Poaceae. The record is from RefSeq and is a predicted model, not a curated record.
UUGGGUAUGUCUAAACUAAAGGAGUUGUAAGUGACCCUACAAUAUGUAAUUUUGGCCAUGUCAAGAUUGUCUCAACUAAUGACUGAACUUUAUCUUGUCAUUUUGCAGCUUGGAUUUUCCAUUAAGCUUGGUGAAGUAUAUUACGUUAGUGGACGAAUAGAAUACCAUGGAUGUCUUUGCUAUUUUGGAGGCAAUUCUUUUUGUGGGUUCACCUGUUGUGAUUAUCUAUAUGAGACAUGCAUAGUAUUUUGGUAGAUCCAAUUGUUUCAGAAAAAGGAUAUUUUGGCAGUAUUUCUUCAGCUCCAUUGAAUAGAAUUGCCUUUGUGGAGCGCAUCUUGGAAGAGGUGGAGGCGUGAGGAUCGAGCCGGAUGGGGUGGCCGCUGUGGCGCGCGGGCGAAGGAGGAGCUCAAGGAGCACAUCCCAGAAGAGAGCGUCGGCGGUGGCACGCCAAUCGACUCCAUCGCAUCCUGGGCCUUGAGAUCUUCUCCGGCGGUGGGGAUAGGAACUGCUUGCAGCCAUCGUCAAGGAAGCUGCACAAUAUGAUGGUGGUGGAUCCCGCAAGACCAGGGGAGUUUCCAUGGCAAGAAACAUGGUCAAUGACUCCAGGGUGACGUGGAGCUCCAGGCCAAGGUAACAAGCAAAUUCUUCUUCGAGGUUGAGAUCGGUGGGGAGCGCGUGGGCAAGGUGGUCAUCGGGCUCUUCGGCGAGGUCGUCCCAAAGACGGUUGACAACUUCCAUGCCCUGUGCACUGGUAUAUCAGGCUAAUCAAUACUAUGCAAAUUAGCUCUCCCCAGGCCCCAAUUUUGAGAGCAAAUCCAUUCCUUAUGUCAGUAAGUGUGUCCAGUAGUAUGUAUCUGGACUCAUGCAUCGUUUCUCUCUGUUUUGGUUGGGGCAGGAGAAAAAGGGUAUGUAUACAAGGGCUGCUUCUUCCACCAAGUCAUCAAAGGAUUUCAUGAUUCAGGGUGGGGAUUUUGCAGGAAAACAAUGUUUGAAGAGCAUUAGUGGCCUCUGUUCAACCUUUUCUCUUCAUCUAUUCGGCAGCUGUUGUUGGUGGACAACGGUGGCCUCAGGUGGUGCAUGGUGGGUCCUGUCAAGUCACCGAUACGAUUUCUCCCAUGCAGGUGACCGGCGGCUGGGCAACACCGUGGCCAUUGAGCCGAAGGUGGCUGAGCACCAGAGCUCCCAGCUUAGGAAGACGACGCGACGGGAUGACGCAGCACCACGGCCUUCAGCACCCUUGCCGUUAGCAGCUCGCCCCUGUCAUAAGUCCUCUCGUGACCUGUUGGUUCUUCUGCUCCAGGACGAGAUGGUCAUCUUGCUAGGUUUCAGAGCCCUGUGGGCCUCUUCGCCGCUCGUCCUCGUCACCCUCUCUGCACCAACAUCUCGCUUCCUUCUUGCUUCCAGUCAGGAUGGGGGCUUCUAUUUAGGAGGCGCUCAUGGUACCAGGUCUCCAUAGACCUGGCCGUUUCAGAAUGGGAACAAAGUAAUAACGCUCCUUAUGAAAAAAAACACAUAAUAUUGCUUUGGGUCAUGUUAUAGCCACAUUUGUGUUAUGGCCAAAACAUACCAUUUCUUUGUACAAGCUUCAUUUCCAUCAUAAAAAACUACUUGUUUGGUAUGAAAAUGAAACCAUAAGCAGUAUAUCUCUCGACGGGUGAAAUUUGGCAAAUGUAGCAAUUUCCUUGGUCGUCCAAAAUUUGUUCUUGGUGGUUGUGUAAUGAUGUUUAUUAAACUAUGGGAAAGAUAAAUACAACAUUGCAUUUUUAAAGAAA